AUUGUCCAUUUGUUAAAUCUGAGAGUGAUCCAACUCCUUCAUUGUCUGCAAAGUGCAUUUCAAAGCUUCCUCUCCCUUGUAGCAACAAGGACAGAGUACUCAAAAUAUGAAGAUUUUUGAAUUACUAUCCUAAAUAUAUAAAAAGAGCCUCUGAUGGUCCGUUCAAUACCUGCUAUUUGAUGGAGUGAUUAGCUAGCAUUGAAGAAACAUCUUGUGUCUGGCUGUUUUAUUGAAAAUGUUUUUCCUUUUU
This is a long non-coding RNA of Hyaena hyaena (striped hyena), 250 nucleotides long. RefSeq lists it as uncharacterized. The record is from RefSeq and is a predicted model, not a curated record. The transcript is spliced from 4 exons. NCBI's taxonomy places the organism in Eukaryota, Metazoa, Chordata, Mammalia, Carnivora, Hyaenidae.